AGACCUUGGCGGUUACUUCUGUGGGUGAGGGACAUGGAGACCAACAAUGCUCACAGGACAGUUGAUUUAUUCAUUUCCUGAGAAAGGAAAUCUUGGCAGUCAGCCCCAUGGUUAAGAACAAAGAGGCAAAUCUGAUUUACUCAAGCUCCAGUCAUGAAGACUUUGGCUGAUGAAUCAGUGGCCACGGAGCAGAAAGACCCAUGUAAGUGUCCGAG
Choloepus didactylus (southern two-toed sloth) is the source of this 215-nucleotide long non-coding RNA. RefSeq lists it as uncharacterized. The transcript has 3 exons. Lineage: Eukaryota; Metazoa; Chordata; Mammalia; Pilosa; Megalonychidae. The record is from RefSeq and is a predicted model, not a curated record.